AAAGGAACCGACAGGAGUUUCACUAUGGUAUAGUAGGUCUUCCUCUGAUGACCCUGAAAGGUUAUAUAACUGCUCUCCAUGCAUGAUGGAGUUCAGAUCUUUUGCAAGCUUUUCUACAGGUGAAGGCUUCGGACGGGUAACACAGCUCCUCUUUCUUGAUGGCACUAGGGACUCCCAAGCAUGUGACUGUGCUGAACCUGAAUUGGCAAUACAUCAGAGAGUCAAAUGACAUAAUAGAACAAAGAAAAUAAGGUAAGUUCUACAUAAGCACAGUAAAUGUUGAGAAUCAUUAUUAGAUAUUUAUUUUGUUUCGUGGUUCAAUUUCAUUAGAUAUCACUUCAGAGAUGUGAUUAAGGUAUACACGCUAUUGGCAAAUCUUGUGAAUCGGUAUUAGACCUUUAUGGUGUUUCAUGGCGCUGAAGUGAUUAAAUAUCACUUCAGAGAUGCGGUAAAGGGAGACACACUAUUAGUACCU
Molecule: long non-coding RNA, 475 nt
Filed under: Sorghum bicolor (sorghum)
Lineage: Eukaryota; Viridiplantae; Streptophyta; Magnoliopsida; Poales; Poaceae
Description: long non-coding RNA (SBIC_LNC011349)
Source: RNAcentral